CCUACGGGAGGCAGCAGUGGGGAAUAUUGGACAAUGGGCGAAAGCCUGAUCCAGCCAUGCCGCGUGUGUGAAGAAGGCCUUCGGGUUGUAAAGCACUUUCAGUGGGGAAGAAAGCCUUGGGGCUAAUACCCUCGAGGAAGGACAUCACCCACAGAAGAAGCACCGGCUAACUCCGUGCCAGCAGCCGCGGUAAUACGGAGGGUGCGAGCGUUAAUCGGAAUUACUGGGCGUAAAGCGCGCGUAGGCGGUCUGAUAAGCCGGUUGUGAAAGCCCCGGGCUCAACCUGGGAACGGCAUCCGGAACUGUCAGGCUAGAGGGCAGGAGAGGAAGGUAGAAUUCCCGGUGGAGCGGUGAAAUGCGUAGAGAUCGGGAGGAAUACCAGUGGCGAAGGCGGCCUUCUGGACUGACACUGACGCUGAGGUGCGAAAGCGUGGGUAGCAAACAGGAUUAGAUACCCUAGUAGUC
RNAcentral lists this ribosomal RNA (465 nucleotides) under Vreelandella stevensii. RNAcentral's name for it is "partial 16S ribosomal RNA". It matches the Rfam family "Bacterial small subunit ribosomal RNA", at positions 338 to 795 of the family's 1533-position model. Lineage: Bacteria; Pseudomonadati; Pseudomonadota; Gammaproteobacteria; Oceanospirillales; Halomonadaceae. The record is from RNAcentral.